UCGUGAAAAAGAUUAAGGACUCUUACAUAGAAACAAGUUUCUAUGGGAGUUCCUAAUCUAUAAGACUCUCCGACUUUUGAGGGAAUCGGAGAGGAAAAACUUUAAUGAAAUACUCUAAGACCACAAUGUUCUUCUCCCUCGGGUUUAUGUAAGCUCCUUGUCCAAUAAACAAACUAGAUCUUUUGUUGUCACCUUCAGCUUUAAAAUCUCUUCUCAUACAUAUGCUA
Molecule: long non-coding RNA, 227 nt
Filed under: Lupinus angustifolius (narrow-leaved blue lupine)
Lineage: Eukaryota; Viridiplantae; Streptophyta; Magnoliopsida; Fabales; Fabaceae
Description: long non-coding RNA (LANG_LNC002153)
Source: RNAcentral